GCGCUUUUUGAGGUCCACAACUGUAGGUCCCAGACGAACUCGAAUUAUAUGAAUUAGUCAGAGAAACAAAGGCAAAGAAAGCAAGAAGUUUGGGAAAAUUCAUUAUUAAAAGACUUUAAAUGAAUACAAACACUUGACUUACAGAUGAAUAGAAAUAGGACGAGGAGGGUCCUAAAUUUUUUAGCCUAAAGGAUCACCCCGUACAACAUAAAUAAUACUUCGUAACUCCCUCAAAAUGGGGUGUUACUUGUAUUAUUCAGCGGGCACAGACUAUCAUCUCCUGCUACCCGAUUACUAUCUUUAAGUUUUUACCUAAGCGCACUAGUUGAUUCUAAACCGUGCCUUAUGCGUGCACUACCCGUCCCAUGCCUAUGACCCAGGAGGCUUUGAACCUACUAUUUGAUAGUUCUAGACUGAACUCAGUUUCUCAAAAUGAUAAAACUAAGCGACAAUCAAAAACAGAUAGGACUGCACGUAAUUACAAUAAAGGGGGCUCAAGUAACCUCCACACAUAAGCAGGAAAAGCACGCAAACAGUUUUCUAGUUAGGCAAUAUAUGGUAUUAAGACAUGUUGGAAUCGUUAAGUCUUAUAGACAUGAUUUCUAUGUGAUUUUGGAUUUCAAUAUUAUAUAGGCAAUGCUGUAAUUCUGACGUGUAGACAAAUUAGAGUGCUGCAAGUCCUAUAGAUGUGAUAUCUAAUCAUUUGUGUAAAUAGGCAGUGAAGUCUCAAUAAACAUCCUCUGGCAGAUUUUCUAGUGAUUGACAAUUGGGAUUGAUUUUAAACGUUUUAUCCCUAUAAGCAUGCUUUAUAGGCGGGUGAUAAUAUCCCAUAAGCAGGGUUCAAAUAGUUAAGACUUGGGGCCUAUUUUAUUGCUAUACUUAGUCCUAUAGGCAUGAUUUCUAGUGAACAGUGCAAGACAAUAGAAAAUGAAGUGAUCAAAAUCCUAUAGGCAUGAUUGCUAGUGAAUAUGCUGAGGCGAAUUGAAAGAUAGUUCAUUGACAUUCAUUCUAUUGGCAGGUUUUCUAGCAACACAUAACAGUAAGAACAAUUGCAACAUUUGAAUUCAUGUUUGCUAACAGGUAGUGUACAUGUGUGUGCUUCCCCUAAUGACAUGAUUUCUACAGUGCACAUAUAGAUCGAACAACACAUAUAACAAGUGAAUCAAUGAGUCCUAUAGGCAUAUUAUCUACCCCUUUUCAUGCAAACAUUAAGAAUCUAUCUGUUCCCCGUUUUUACUAACCCCCAGUUGUUCAUUACAACAUUAUUACAGGCCCAAUAAUAAACAUAAUUACAAGUAUUGUAUAAAUAAUGACGGUAGGCCCAAAAGAAAACACCCAGCAUUGCAUGGGCCUUCAAUAACUCUCACGCAGCAUACCCAUGAACCAUAUUCAUCAGCACAACCUAGAAUCCAUAGAGGAACUUAAGCUAGAUCACACAACCAUAGAUUGACCAACCAAUUUACAUAUUUAGUAGCCCAUAGGAAGAAAGAGUUGAGUGUGAGGAAUAGUGUAUGUCUCAGUAGUAGAGGGAAUGACUAAAGGACCCUAAAUCCCAGUGUGUCAGAGUUCACAAGGGUCUCAAAUGGACCCCGAGCAGUGCUCACACUAGGGAGGUCAGUAGUAAGAGCCUUGGUGGCCUUGGCUUUUAGCUGGCCAAGAACGAUAGGUUCAGAAUAGCAUAGGUAACAAAUGAAAGAUAGUGGACAUUGAUUAAGGGGCAGAAGUUGAGAACAUAGAGCAACUAAGCAAACAGGUCACAAGACUUAGAAUAAGGUUCAACAAAACUCAAAAGCAAGUUCAACAGGAUUUCAACACUUAGUAAAGCAAUACAUAGCAACCACAUAUUGAAAGAGUUAGGGGAGAAACAUAUUUACAAGAUUGACAGAAGUUAUCAUGCUCAAAUACACAAUACCAAACAAGUUGAAAACCUAAGAGGUCCAAAUUAUGCUAGGUAUACAUCUUAGUGGCACAAGAGAGACAUGUUAACUUUCAUCAGGAAGCAAGACUGCAAAGAGACAUGAUAGGGAGCACACGUUAUGACAAAUUAGGUAGCCGCUGAAGGAAUCAGGGAAUUAGGUAAGCCAAAGACAUACCGAGGGACAUAUUAGUAGGGAAAUAAGAUCAUAGAAAGGUUCUUAUCACAGAUUAAACACAUUAUAUAUGCAAGACAAACAUUAUAGAGAUUCAAAACAGAGUGGAAAAUAGCUCAUGUCAAAUAGUACAUAUAGGUGUUCUAGCAUUGUCGCAGUAGAGUAAUUAACUAAAGAAGGUUCAAGUUAUGUCAUGAAACAAAAUAGCUCAAACAUGAUAAGGAAAAUAGGUUGUAGUAGCCGUUAAUAACUAAGUCAAUCACUAAUGGGGUAUGCUAAAUGACAAAGCAACCGGGAAAUAUGUCAUAGGUAACACAGGUCAUUACAAACAUGAAGAAUUCAUUAUAGAGAUUCAGGGCAAAGCAAGUAAGCAUGUUCAGGAACACUUAGGCACUAAUACACUGGUUAAACGAACUUAAGAGGGUCAGAUUAUCUAGGUUAGACUUAGACAAAAGACUAGCAUCAUUAGGAGAAAGUUAAGUGCGGAGAGACUUAAACAAGUGUAAAGUUGGCAGAAUCAAGCAUAAAGGUAACCUAGAAGCAUAUUAAGCCAUGAGUCAAAGACACAUAAGGAUGAAAUUGCAAAAGUCCAGUGGCUUACCAGUUAAACGGAUAACAAUAAAGAACAAAAGAUCCACAAGAACUCAGAAAUCUCGAUGCGUCAAAGUUCCCAAGAGCUUCAAAAGAACCUCGGGCAAUGCUCGCACCAAAAGAAAGUUCGAACAGUAGACCCUCGGUGGCAUUGACUUUCAGCCGACCAAAACAAAGCACAGAACAAGAUAAUGAAGGAACCAUAGAACAAAGCUUCAAAUUUUAGUGAGAUUAUAGCGAUUCCCCUCUAUCCUCAAGGGGAAUGGGGAGGGGUUUAUAUAGUAGCAGAAAUUGAACAAGUAAACAAGGAAAACUGUAAAAUCAAACAUAAAUAAGGAUGUAAUAACAUACAGAAUCAAAUAAAAAUCGGAUUGGGGAAAAAAUAGGUAAACCCUAGUUGACAGAAAUCGAAGAUUGACUGGAAAUCUUGGCUAAUCGGACCCAUAUAGCCAUGGUCAUGAUAUAUAUGGACUAAAUAUUGUCCAGAUUCAAACGGUUAAAGUGUAAUGGCCGAAUUCUGAGAGAUAGUACUUUCCAUGUUUAGGCAAGUACUAGGUGAGACCAUAGAUUUGUAGAAAAUAGCGAGAUAACAUACAAAAGGCAAGAAUAUUAUUGAAAGAAUCCAUGGUUGAGACGAAUUUGGAGAGGUUUGAGAAGGUGGCUAGGGUUUCUGGGGGAGGGAGGAGUGUUUAAGGGUGGC
RNAcentral lists this long non-coding RNA (3381 nucleotides) under Nicotiana tabacum (common tobacco). RNAcentral's name for it is "long non-coding RNA (NTAB_LNC012882)". Lineage: Eukaryota; Viridiplantae; Streptophyta; Magnoliopsida; Solanales; Solanaceae. The record is from RNAcentral.